GUGUGGAUGGUUAAACAUGCUCAAAACUGGGCUGAGUGUCUGAAUAAAAGUAUCAUUGCUACAAUGAAAACCAGAGGGUGAAACAGAAAAUGAUUUUAACAGAAAAAGUUUAUUUUAAGAAGACACAAACAGCUCUAGCUAUAUAAAGAAUACAGUUCAAUUGCUGGUAGCAAGCCAGUAAGGAAUGCCUUUUUUUUUUUAAAGAAAGACAAGAAAAACCCUUUGUAAUAUCACCCCACAGAGGGCUCCCUUCCAUUUUGUGUUGGAAUCCUAAAAAGACUGAGAUCGUGAUCUCUCCUACUUUCUGCUUCUUCUUGAAAUGUUAGGGACACAUUGGGUAACAAGGAUAGGUCUGGGGAAAAAAAUGAGGGUUUCUACACUGAGGUAGUCAGUAAUGAGAGAGAGAGAGAGCUCAUGAAGGACACUCUAUUGAAGAGUAAUGGUUGGCAUAUGCAGCCCCCCUCCACCUGCUCCUGUGCAGUCAGUCUGGUCUGACAAUGCAGUAGAUGGGAAGGCAAUAAACCACAUCAGCUACUGCACAACUCAGUUAUCACAUGGGGCAGCUCACAGAAAUGCUUGUCUCAGAAGACAGUCUGGAUCAGGGGUCAGCCUAAGGCUUUGCAUAGCCCAUGAGCUAAGAAUAGUUUAUAUUGGCAGGGUGCGGUAGCUCACACCUGUAAUCCCAGCACUUUGGGAGGCCGAGGUGGGCGGAUCACAAGGUCAGGAGAUCGAGAACAUCCUGGCCAACAUGGUGAAACUCUGCCUCUACUAAAAAUACAAAAAAAAAAAAAAUAUUAGCUGGGCAUGGUGGCACGCACCUAUAGUCCCAGCUACUCGGGAAGCUGAGGCAGGAGAAUUGCCUGAACCCGGGAGGUGGAGGUUGUAAUGAGCCGAGAUUGUACAAUUGCCCUCCAGCCUGGCUACAGAGAGAGACUCUGUCAAAAAAAAAGAGAGUGGUUUACAUUAUCCAAAGGUUGCAAAACAAACGAAUGAACAAACAGCAACAACAAAGAAGAAUGUGCUACAGAGACCACAUGUAGCCCACAAAGCCUAAAAUAGUUACUGUCUUAACCUUUACAGAAUUUGUCAAUCUCCCAUCUAGAUGAUGGGGGAAACCUCACCAAUCUCUGGUGAGAAGCCUCUAAGCAUCCUCGAAAAGAGAAACGAGAGGAAGUCCAGGAGAAACAAGGGAACAAUGGAAAAUAAAUGGAAAUGCCAAUCAAUUUGACUAGUGUGGCUCUAAAAGAUGCAUGGCUUGCAAUUCCACAGAAUAGUAAGGUAUGCAUGUACUAAGGAAGGAGGCCCCAACUAAAGAGAGAGCCACACUAAGGAACAUUAGGCAAAGAAUGUUCUGGAAAAGAGACUGCAUGCGGAGCUUAGUACUGAUUAGGGAAUUCUGUUAUUGUUUGAUAAGAUGGAGCUGGAAUUUGAGCCCAGGGAUUGACAGAAUAUCAAGCCAGGUGAAAUUUCUAGAACACAACUAAAUAUCUCAUGAGCAUUUAACAGUCUGAAAAUUUCUCAUAAAGAUUAAGAAGGGAAGGCUAAAGUAGACUCUGGGAAAGCUAAUAUUGGUUGGGUUGUACCCUACUUUUAAAUAAACACCAAAUACAAAAGUUUGCACUAAAAAAAGUAGAGACAUUAUGGGACAAUGACAAGAGGAAUCUCGGUUUUUCAAAAAGAAGUCACCAGAAGGUUCCCUUACAUAGGAAGUUUACCUCUAAAAAAUGAUACUUGAUAUCUAAAAAACUCAUUUUUCACACAACUUUUAGGGAAAACAUCCAUUGUACUAAGUAGGGUGCACAUAUUGAAUUUGGAGGGAAACUAAUGUUUAUAAACUGAAAAUCCAAUUUGUCUUUGGAUUAAUGAAUUAAAGAACUCUUGAACAUUUUCCCUUAAAGCAUAUAUAUUAGUUCAUUGAAAUACCUGGGAAAUUCAUGUGUCAUAAAAGUAGAAGCCAGCUGUGGGUCUUCUAUAAAUUGUAGUGCUUUAAAUGAAACCAGAUUGGGCCCAAGGGCAGGAGACCUGGAAUUGAGGCUGGGCCCCACCACUGACUCACUGUGUGACCUUGUAUAUAAGUUAUUUGACCUUUCUGGGCCUCAGCUUCCUCAUGUGUGAAAUGAGAGAGGUUGGUCCCUUUCAGCUCUAACAUUCCAAGACUGCAGAUAAAUAUAGAAAUAAGAUAAAUACAACAAUCUAGAAAUAAGAAAUAUAGCCCAAAGUAAGCUUUGGAGUCAGUAGAAAAAAGUAGCAGUGAAAUAUAAUAAAAAGAAUAAAACUUUAACCACUAGCCAGGGUAAAUAUAUCUCAUUUAAAAAUGAAUGAAAAGGUUUGUAAUUUACAAUUCAUCAGAAGACCUCAGCACAUACAUAUAUUGAUAUUUCUUCGCCAUGAUACACAUGGGGGAAGGAAUGAGUUUGAGGUGACUUGUACAAUGAGCACAAUGCUGCGUUUGCAUGCACAACAUUUUAUAAAAUUGGAUGUUAGAAAAAGCUCAAGACCACCUAAGGAAUAAAUGUCUAUAAAGCUUGGCAUUACAAAGAGGCUGAGAGGGGUUAACUAGUUGUUCCAGUUCAGAUUUUGUUUUGGAGUUCGUUGCUAUCAAAUUCUACUAUUUAGGCAAAAAUCUUAAAAUCAAAUAUACUUCUGCCAGAGCCUUACUGGAGAACAGCCACCACGGUAAAGACAGGUAUUUAAGAGCUGGCAAUACCAAACAAACUUAACACCUUUCCCUUUUUUCCAUUUGUGAGUUAAAAAAAAUCUUUUUUUUUUUUUUAAACCCAAAGCAGGCCAGAUGGGCUGGCUAAGUCUAAUCAAAGAUUUUGCAGGUUGAGCAAUUUGUUGAUCCAAUAUGAUAAGUUCUUUUUAAUUUUUUUCGAGCAUAUGCACCGGAGUCCCAUAAAACAUGAGACUCCUCAAUCUGAUAAUUUCUUAAAACCAAGCAAACAUAUGCCUGACCAAGAUAACAAUAUACACCUCUUGGCCAGAGACUGGUCCUUAUGAUGAGAGCCAGAAUAAUGGUAAAGGUUGGAAUCAGUUGGAGAGUCGUGGCUAUAGUGAUUCAGGGGCUUGAAGGAGUAACAUCACUGGAAUGCACAUACACACACACACACACACACACACACACACACACACACAUACACUCUCUCUCUCUCUCUUUCUCCCUCUCCAGGGAUGCUGCUGUUGCUGCUCCUGGAACUGCACUUUGAGAACCAUUGGCCUAGAUUUUGGGCUUUACUGAACAAAAGUAUAAUGCCCAUUUCACAUUGCUCAUUACUCAUGCAAAUUUCUUCUUGCUAACCUUAUUAAAAAUGCCCCAAAUGUGUGUCUAUAACUAUUUACUAUGUAUUCCUCUAUAAAUCUGUUUCAAAGUAUUCUAAAAUUUGCUUAUUUCAUAUUAUGUUUAUAUCAUUAUACUUUUUGCUGCCUUUUGACAAAGGCACUUCCUUAUACAUCUUUCCCACUCUCUUAUCCUUUUAAAUCCCUAAUAUCCUUGUCACUUGUAGCUGAAAUACAUGCAAAGCCUUUGAAAGGAUUGGGGGCUGUGGUAUAGAUAUAGUCUCAUUUUCACACCAAGCUGGACUGAUAGCCCAUAACAGAGAUGAAGCAGGGAAAGCAGAAGCUUGUAAAGGUAAGCUUAUUGGAGGUAAAGUUGUACCUCCAAUAAGUUUAAUAAUCACCACCAAUACUGGACGACUGACAUUGAUUGGACAUGGAUUGGACAGUUUCACCUUUCACAAACAGGACAUAUUUUCACAGACUCUUCAAUUCCUUGUGUUCUUUACUCAAAUGGUAAGUAGUAUUAAUUCCAUUUAUGUAAAAAUGUCAAUGUACAAUAUGAAUGAUCUAGGCCUUCUCAGUGGCUUUUAGUAGCCAUUUCUGAGAGUCCCUUGGUAGUAACCAUAUUGAAUAGCAUUGGAUAUCAGGACAAUUUAAUUGACCAUCAGCUAGUAACUCAAAUGAUUCCAGGCGAUUAAGAUAUUUUCUAUAUUCUGGAGUUAGGCGUCAGGGAAUUUGGCCUUUCCAUGGUGAAAAAUACACUUCUACAACUAGUUGAUGCCUAACAUUCUGCAAGUAGAACUUCAUUCCAUUGGCUUAAGGCUUUUCCCUUGUUAAAAUGCAACUGACCCUCAAAAGAGGUAGCAUUAAGCCUUAUAAUCUCAAAGUAAAUGAAUUUAUCCCUUUCCUGAGAGCAGGUUUUUCUUAGGAGGAGAAGGAAGUAGGAGGCACUGAAGAGAGUUGGUGCUGGGAAGCAAGGUUUAGGAGAAUGGAGCAGAAAGAGGAGAGGGAGGAUCCUGGUGACAGACCGUCAACUCAGUCACUCUUUUGUUGAAGGGCUGGCCUUGGGAGCAUCCCUGCUGAAAUGGGUGUUAACUUGCCACCUGGAGCAUAUUACUUAGAAAUCAACUAUGUUUUCCGAUAUUAACACUAUUAAAGAUUCUUUAAUGUAUAGGCACACAAAGACUUAUAGCAAUGGAAAAAUAGGUAGCAAUAAAAUAUUUGGUGCAACAAGAGAUAGGGAGUUAACCCCCGACCCCAAAUCAGAAGGACUAUACUUGUUCAUAGGAAGAAGAUAAACUGAUAUUACUUUAAAGAGUGCAAAUCACAGGGCUGGGACGAGGGUAAGGCACUUGCAUGGCCCUGAGAGCGGGCACCUCUUUGAAUUUUACGCCCUAGGUGCCUCGCUCACCUCACCCUAGUCCUGGCCCUAGCAAAUCAUAUUAAAGCGAAAGCUCACCAUUGUGUCACAGACUUGAUAAUGGAAGGUGGAACGAGUGAGGAACAGAGCACUGAGCAUGAACUCAUCUUUUUCCCAACUUGUUCAUUGAUGAGGAAGAGGGCAGGUGCGUGGACAGAUCUGCUCAGACUGACAGGUACAGAGAGACUGCAAUCGGGUCUGUGUUGUCCAGAUAGUUACACUGGAUGUCAGGUGCAGUGCUUGUUAGGAGAGCCUGGUAGGAUCUCCUCUGUCUUUGCACGUUCAAGGUAAUUUAUCCAGAUCAACUGGUCAGUUUGUGGUCAUUAAGCUAACAUUAAUUAUUUUGCUUCCUGUUGUCUCACUUCCUUUAUGGGUGAGUUGUUGUGCUAGGGAUGCAGUUCAUGGGAUUUGGGGCUGAGGGAUAAGUUGGGGCUGAGGAAUAAGUUGGGGCUGGUGGGGGAGGCCCAGUCAGGAGCUGAGGCAGGCCAAGUAGUACAGGAUAAGGAGAGGAGACACCAGCAAAGCUUGCUAUUGUACCAAGAAUAACUACCCUCAAAAACAUGUACUGACUACCCACCAAAUGCAAAGCAUCCUUGGUUAACAAUUAACCUCCGCUCCUGGGGAUGGUGACUAGAUCAAAGUCAGGCUAGCAGAGCCAUCUGUUGCUACUAACUGGAAUGGGGAGGAAAAAAGAGGAUAGGGACGACUUGAAAUGGAAGCUGAGCUCCUAGGGCCAACUUCAUUUCACUCAAAUCUCUUCUCUAUUCCACCUUCAAAAAUUAUUAUCAUUAUUAUUUAUACUAGUAAUUGUAGUAGUGGUGGGUUCUCUGCAAGCCUUUCUGAGAGGGGCUUUCAGCCUCUCUUCUCCAGUCUCAGCAGCGUAGGUGCAGAAGGCAGCAAACAUUGUGGUAAGUGCCUGGGUGGGAGAGAGAGUGGAGUUAUGAUAAUCAAAGGUAGGAGAGAGGUUGAGUGUUAGGAGUGGGGAAGAUGCUUUGUGUUCUGUUAAUUAGUGAUUAGUAGAAAUUUUACAGUUUGGUUGUUUAUUUGGGACGUCUACCUGUUGCAAAAUAUUAAAUGAGGCCAGGUGCAGUGGCUUACUCCUUUAAUCCCAGCACUUUGGGAGGCCAAGGCGAGAGGAUCGCUUGAGCUCAGGAGUUCAAGACCAGCGUGGGCAACAUAGCAAAACCCCCAUCUUUACAAAAAAUUAAUUUAAAAAAUUAAAUGAAUACUUCCGGUCUUAAAUGUUCUCUCUGACCAUAUGAUUUCUGCCCCAAAUCCUCUUGUGCUAAUGGGAACACCACUGCGUGGGCCACAGUGAUGAUGUAGAAGAUAUUCUAAAAAUUCCAGGCAUAUAGAGUAUUGUAGAGGAAAACAAGACUAAAGGUAACUGACAAACAUCAAGGUGUCUGAGAAUUCAGGUUCAGAAUCUUUUGGGAAAACCUCCAGAGGUAGCAAGGUGAGGGGAGAGGCAAAACCCAUUAGAAGUAGUAAACAAGAAACUUCCAGAAAAGUCCACAGAAGUAACAAGGCCUAUACUAUGUGAGUCCCAUACUCAGCUUUAACGUUCAACCAGUCAUAAUGGUUCCCAAGGAGACCCUGGUGUCCUUUCAUUUUUGCUAAGCAAAAGCACAAACGCUCCUUCAUUUACUACAGAGGAAAAUGUCUGUUUUUUGGAAUUCUAAGUCUGGAGCAGACAAAUGUGGCAUUCAUAUAUAAACUGAGGCCAGGGAUGAAUUGAUUUUAUUUUGGGCAAAAUCCCUGGAAUUUGGAAUUUGGUUAAGAACUUCACACCAAGUAGUUCUAGUACUUUCAAAAGCAACUGAGCCUAGCUGUUUUAUUAUUUUAAGUGUCGAAGUGCUGGUUGCAAGGGAGUUGGUGGGCCUGGCCUGUUUCCAGAAGUCUCAGAUUCAGAACUAUAACAACAAAGGGCCUAGGCCUAGGGCUUCUCUUGUGAGAGGCCCAAGUUUUCUCAGUACUUAGUGUGGUUUUUCAGCUGCUCUGUCCAGCUGGAGUGUGGGCAGUUGAGCUAAAAGGUGGCUUCUCAUUGGGCAAUACGACCUAUCAAAGUUGAGAUCUGCUUGUCUCUGGAACCUUACUGCAUCCUCCAGGAGGUUGACCAUUGAAUCUAUUGGGUGAGGGGUGAAGUAGGAAGGGGCUGGGGAACUCUCUUUGUGAAGCAGGCUACAAUUUCAUUCAACUGUUCUUUUUGCCUCUUGAAGACAGUAGACAAUUAACUUUCCAUCAUUGGUCAGCAGGUUUUCUUUGCUCAGUGCUUUGUCUUCCUCCCCAACCUCCCAGAAAUCAGGCAUACAAAAAUCAAAUGAAUCACUGCUCUUGCUCUGCUUAGAAAAUUGAGCUGACAAGAAUAGUUAGUGCCUAUAAGCUUCGUGGGGGGUGGGGGCAGGGAGGGGUCGCAAUGAUUAUUCUGAAGCUCUUUCAGUAUGCCAUUUACCCAGGUUCUUAUGCUCUCCCCCAGCAAGGUUAAUUGAAAGCUGGUCAAACACAGAACCUAAAUGGCAAAAAGUAGCCCUUUUGUGUGUGUGUGUGUGUGUGUGUGUGUGUGUGUGUGUGUGUGCAUUAUGGGCCAUAGCAACUGGCAAGACUGCCUUUUAGAUUUUGGAUAGAUCCUUUUAGUUUAUAUGUUCUUGGUUUUUGGAACAGAGUCGGACUUCCUUUAAACAAAACCAAACCAACCACAAACCACGAUCUGAAUUGACUGGUGGGGGGCAAGAUGCACUUACUUUCCAUUAUCCUUGAGCCUUUGAUGAUGCUGUUCCUUCAGUUAAUUACUUCCUGUAAUGAAUUUUAUAUGCAAAUGAAAUGAGAGUUCUUAGAAUGC
This 7535-nucleotide long non-coding RNA is filed under the name Homo sapiens (human). RNAcentral describes it as "HSALNT0283554". Lineage: Eukaryota; Metazoa; Chordata; Mammalia; Primates; Hominidae. The record is from RNAcentral.